AGCAGUCUAGAAGUUGGCCUAUAGAUAAACUCAGGAUGACUUAUGUGUCUGUUAAUGUGGGAGUUUAUGUCAUUCAGGCUUGUAUUUGGAUAUACCUCUCGGUAGAUGACAGCAUCACGGUUCAUUUUGUGAGAAAGCUAUUUAUUGCAGGUUUGUGUAGUUCUAUUCAUUGUUUAAUAUCACAAACUUGUGUUUUAGAGAUUGAAACUUUACUCCCUUUUCAACAUCUCUAAAACCAACUUAGUUUAAUAAAUAAAUUGUGUUGAUACAUCAAUGUCCACUUGGAACCGUGAAAGUAGCAUUAAAAACAAGUUACUAAUUAUUUGUUUUCAAACGAAACUUGGAUUAUAUUUAAAAAUAUUACAAUAGAGAAUAUAUAUAUAUUUUUGAUUAAAGAUUAGUUGUUUUUUCAUUUUUUUGUUAAAACCACAAGUGGACCAAACUCAUAAGUUUUCAAAGAAUUUUGAACCUUCGCCAAACUGUAAUAUCUGAGAACUGAAUGAAACUGAGUCUUUGAUCUGAUUUAGUUAGGGGUUUAGACUCAUGUUUUAUAACUGAUGAUCUGAUUAUUGCAACUUGUAGCCGCAAUAAACAGUUUUUAAUAUUUAGAUAAACAAAUUUGGCUUCUGAUUAUUUCAUUAUUUUAUGGAUCAUAUAAUGAGUAUCGUAUGAAGCUGAAACAAAGUUGGUUAUCUAUGUUUAAACCUGAUUUUAACCUUAGUUAAUAGAAUUUUACUCUUUGCAUAGAGAAUGUCCUCUUUCCUCAUUUUAUAAGUUAAUUCCUUAAAAUUUCCCAAAUACUCACAAACAUGACCAUCUGAUAUUUACAACUUCAAACUACAGAGGCACUUCCAAACACUCAUACAAACUCCCACUUAGUCUCAUUAUGUGGUUUGUGUGGCUCAUUUAUGCUGUAUUAUGCAGUUGUGUCAUUCAUGACAGCAAUGGGAUUAUUGGUUUAUGGAGGGAGGUGAAUCUUGUAAAUCUUCUAGGCUUAUAUUAUAUUAACAUGUAUUAUUAGUUAAUCUGUUUCGAUUUUCUUUCUUCGCCUUGUCAAAUUUCAUGGAUUAUUUGUAUAUUCAACGCCUUUAUAUUAUAUAUCAUGCUGCGACGUUUCCCCAUAGACUCUAAAGGGAGAAGGAGUAAACUUCAUGAGUGACGGAACGUUUGUUUGAGGGCGUUAUCAAAACAGAGUGGAAUUAGGGGAAGAUAGCCGCAAAGGCGUCUUCUCAGCAACCAUGGUUUAUGACUAAUACGCCGUUAAUUGAGACUUCUGAUACUAAUCAGAUUGUUGUGCCUGAACGACAACGAGGUUAUGUCGGAUUUACGUCGGGACGAUGCACCAAUGCGCACAUUAGGUGGAUCAGGUGACUUGUAUUCCUUCAGAGGGCUGGCAAGUAGAACAUGGUGUCGGAGACUCACAACCAAGUUGUAUGAUGGACUUUCCUUAUCACUAGGCCUAGCCAUCAUUUUCAGUUGUCACUAUUGAGCAGAGUCCGAGGAGCUUAACAUCUUGGUGCAGUCAGGCUCUAUGUGUUUGGAAAUUCAAUAAUUAAGAUGAUGUUAGCUAAGCACCCCCACCAGUCGAUCUUACAGCUAACAUGAGGGAGGUAAAUCACUAUGUCACAGGCACGUGGGUGGUGCUUAGUUUUGAUCUUGGAAUUCAAUAAGAUUGACUCGCUAUGUAUGGUUAAUUAUGAUCAAACCUUAACAAAUAAUAGUUAGAUCAAAGGUUGUCAUUUUUUAUUAUGUUUAUGCUAAAGAAAGUAUGAUAAGAAUGGAGUUUAAUUCUUAAAAAAAA
Molecule: long non-coding RNA, 1801 nt
Organism: Helianthus annuus (common sunflower)
Lineage: Eukaryota; Viridiplantae; Streptophyta; Magnoliopsida; Asterales; Asteraceae
Exons: 6
Source: RefSeq, a predicted model, not a curated record